AGUCGAGCGGAUCUUAUCCUUCGGGAUAAGGUUAGCGGCGGACGGGUGAGUAACACGUGGGUAACCUGCCCAUAAGACUGGGAUAACAUUCGGAAACGAAUGCUAAUACCGGAUACGCGAAUUGGUCGCAUGGCCGAAUCGGGAAAGGCGGAGCAAUCUGCCACUUAUGGAUGGACCCGCGGCGCAUUAGCUAGUUGGUGAGGUAACGGCUCACCAAGGCGACGAUGCGUAGCCGACCUGAGAGGGUGAUCGGCCACACUGGGACUGAGACACGGCCCAGACUCCUACGGGAGGCAGCAGU
This 301-nucleotide ribosomal RNA is filed under the name Paenibacillus sp. P28E. RNAcentral describes it as "bacterial SSU rRNA". It matches the Rfam family "Bacterial small subunit ribosomal RNA", at positions 60 to 355 of the family's 1533-position model. The record is from RNAcentral. Lineage: Bacteria; Bacillati; Bacillota; Bacilli; Caryophanales; Paenibacillaceae.